GUCAGCCCAGGAUAACACCUGACGCACGACAGGUCCAUAAUACAGCAUUCCAGGUACAAAAAUAUUCAUCAAAUACAUGUAUAUGAGAUUACAUCAUUGAUGAAUACAAUUAUCUAGCAUAGCCCUAAGGCUAUUAAAUGACAGCGGAAGUCUGAUAAAAAUGGCGGGGGAAGUCUUGGUUUGGCAACAUAACAACUCUGGCUGGGCUCCACAACUCACAGGACUGGCAAGGUUACGGCCUAGCACGACGGAUCAAGCGAACAAUUCGGGUAUGACCUACAAAACUGGCAUGACACGCCAGGUCAGUACAUUGAAUGUACUUGCAAGACCACCAAAUACAUAUCAUCCAAACAAGCAGAAGACAGAGCGAGAACCACGCGUAUGCAACAACCUAUCUCAUAUCAAUUACUAAACAUGGCAUGAUAAAAAUUUAACUAAGCAUGAACAAAAUCAUAACAUCUACUAACAUGGCAAUGGCAUGGCAUAUCAGAUCAUGCUUCUAACAUGGCAAUGGCAAAGCAUAUCAUCUCAAUCAUGGCAUAAUUUAACAUGUCAAUCAAAGCAUAGCAUGGCAUCAAGAAACUAUGCUGAAAAUAAACUACCAAUAAUAUCCAAUGCAGACAUAGCAUGUUAACAUUAUGCAAUCAUCUUCUGUUCUAUCAUGGUUCUUUAAAUGCAAAUAAUGAUAUAUUAUUCCAACAAUGCAACCAAACUUGUGCACCGAGUCCCUCGGACUCUCUUAUCAACUGUGAUCAUCUUUGGAUCACAAACACACCACCAAAGUGGUCUUUCUCAAGAACAACUCGUGAUCCUUACGGAGAUCACAACCACGACCAACACUUGGUCUCCAACCGUGAUCCUUACGGCGAUCACAACCACGACCAAUAUUUGGCCCGUGGUCCUUACGGCGAUCACAACCACUUAUCUCAUCAUCAAAAUAUCGUCGUGACUCCUCACGACUAUCUCAUAGUUCAAGUUACCAUAUUCUUGUUAUCACAUAUUUAUUUACCAACUUAAUUAUUUCGGUUUGUCCUCCAUUUCGACCAAGACCUGAUAGUGGGACCUACUAUGAACUGUUGCUAUCGGUAGACUUUAUAUACACUCUGCAGACGUAGCACACUGUACCCACACCACGGAACCCAUGGCCUCGUCAUCCCAUUCGGGUGGACCAACGGCAUUCUGACGAAACCAACCUACUGCCAUGACGCUCUCCCGGCCACUCCGACCCAAUCCCCAACGGGCUGGUCCUGGGUGGCCCCGUAUCUACCAAAGACACCCCGACCACCGUCGUGGUCAACUCCCACUCGGGGACACUCCCACUCGGGGACUGGUACCAAAAAUCUCAAAAACGAGCACACAAGGUUAUGUCCGCUUACCUGAUCAGGGUAAGCACGCCCAUAACCUUCCCUAGUGGGAGGCACCGACGAGAGGUCACGACAAUAGCUCGCAUUAAGGCCUUCCCACAAAGGCAAAUGUGGCUGCACUGAAAAAGUUCGAUUUGGUGGCACUAUGACUCGAUCCCAUCGAUGACGGAGGAGGUUUUUUAUUAUUAAGUCAUUUUAAUUCCUUCUCCAUCAUCAUUAACAUGAAUGCAACAAUGAGCAUGCAGCAUACGAUUGCAUGAACAAAAUAUUGAACUACUCAAGUGCACAGCUAUAGCAUAAAGAACAUGAUAAUACCAAGUAAUAGCAUAUCAACAGUGCAUUACAAUCCUCAUAAAAUUGUAUAACGAUGACAUGCAAAUAAAGUAGAGUAGUGACAUGGCAUUAUCAAUAACAACAUUUUAAUUAGCAUGGCAAAAGAUAUCAUGAAAACACAAGCAUGCAUAACAGGCAUAAUAACUGCAGACGAAAAUGAUGUGAAACAACUGCAACUACACACACAAGGUGCAAGCAAAGUCAACAUGCAAGUUCGGGGCUCAUGAUAAGAGGUUGGCUUGCCUGGGGGUCGGCAAAUACUCCGGGAAGAAGUGCGAAACGAUCGCGGAAAGAUUUGCCGGAAACAGUUCUCUCUCGGAGGAGGCUGUUUACGGUCAAGGGCAAAAUGGUCAUUUUCACUGUGUGAAAAUAUAAUUAAAAUGAUACCAAUGGAAAGAGAUCGACGAACAGAGAACGUGAGCGCUGGGAUCACCUUAUUCGGAGUUACGGGUAAAAAGAUAUGGAUGUUUAAAGCUCAGGGGACUAGUCUGUAAAAAUACUUCUACAAACAGGUCCCUGGUAGUUUAAACAGAACGUGUCUUUUCUGAAAAUACGUUUUCCAGAGAGGGAAACGUAUUCCCGGCCGAAGGAGAGGAAAAAAUGCGCUUUCUGAGAUUGAAAGCGCACUUUCCAGAAACGCGCUUUCGCGCGGGGAAAGCGGCGUCGCGGCGGGGGCGCCGCCACUUACCUGACGUGGCA
Molecule: long non-coding RNA, 2396 nt
Filed under: Triticum aestivum (bread wheat)
Lineage: Eukaryota; Viridiplantae; Streptophyta; Magnoliopsida; Poales; Poaceae
Description: long non-coding RNA (TAES_LNC024496)
Source: RNAcentral